UGUACUUGGUGUUACUGCGAAGGGGGGACGGAGAAGGCUAUGUUGGCCGGGCGACGGUUGUCCCGGUUUAAGCGUGUAGGCUGGUUUUCCAGGCAAAUCCGGAAAAUCAAGGCUGAGGCGUGAUGACGAGGCACUACGGUGCUGAAGCAACAAAUGCCCUGCUUCCAGGAAAAGCCUCUAAGCAUCAGGUAACAUCAAAUCGUACCCCAAACCGACACAGGUGGUCAGGUAGAGAAUACCAAGGCGCUUGAGAGAACUCGGGUGAAGGAACUAGGCAAAAUGGUGCCGUAACUUCGGGAGAAGGCACGCUGAUAUGUAGGUGAAGUCCCUUGCGGAUGGAGCUGAAAUCAGUCGAAGAUACCAGCUGGCUGCAACUGUUUAUUAAAAACACAGCACUGUGCAAACACGAAAGUGGACGUAUACGGUGUGACGCCUGCCCGGUGCCGGAAGGUUAAUUGAUGGGGUCAGCGCAAGCGAAGCUCUUGAUCGAAGCCCCGGUAAACGGCGGCCGUAACUAUAACGGUCCUAAGGUAGCGAAAUUCCUUGUCGGGUAAGUUCCGACCUGCACGAAUGGCGUAAUGAUGGCCAGGCUGUCUCCACCCGAGACUCAGUGAAAUUGAACUCGCUGUGAAGAUGCAGUGUACCCGCGGCAAGACGGAAAGACCCCGUGAACCUUUACUAUAGCUUGACACUGAACAUUGAGCCUUGAUGUGUAGGAUAGGUGGGAGGCUUUGAAGUGUGGACGCCAGUCUGCAUGGAGCCGGCCUUGAAAUACCACCCUUUAAUGUUUGAUGUUCUAACGUGGACCCGUGAUCCGGGUUGCGGACAGUGUCUGGUGGGUAGUUUGACUGGGGCGGUCUCCUCCUAAAGAGUAACGGAGGAGCACGAAGGUUGGCUAAUCCUGGUCGGACAUCAGGAGGUUAGUGCAAUGGCAUAAGCCAGCUUGACUGCGAGCGUGACGGCGCGAGCAGGUGCGAAAGCAGGUCAUAGUGAUCCGGUGGUUCUGAAUGGAAGGGCCAUCGCUCAACGGAUAAAAGGUACUCCGGGGAUAACAGGCUGAUACCGCCCAAGAGUUCAUAUCGACGGCGGUGUUUGGCACCUCGAUGUCGGCUCAUCACAUCCUGGGGCUGAAGUAGGUCCCAAGGGUAUGGCUGUUCGCCAUUUAAAGUGGUACGCGAGCUGGGUUUAGAACGUCGUGAGACAGUUCGGUCCCUAUCUGCCGUGGGCGCUGGAGAACUGAGGGGGGCUGCUCCUAGUACGAGAGGACCGGAGUGGACGCAUCACUGGUGUUCGGGUUGUCAUGCCAAUGGCACUGCCCGGUAGCUAAAUGCGGAAGAGAUAAGUGCUGAAAGCAUCUAAGCACGAAACUUGCCCCGAGAUGAGUUCUCCCUGACCCUUUAAGGGUCCUGAAGGAACGUUGAAGACGACGACGUUGAUAGGCCGGGUGUGUAAGCGCAGCGAUGCGUUGAGCUAACCGGUACUAAUGAACCGUGAGG
This 1496-nucleotide ribosomal RNA is filed under the name Shigella sonnei. RNAcentral describes it as "partial 23S ribosomal RNA". It matches the Rfam family "Bacterial large subunit ribosomal RNA", at positions 1440 to 2915 of the family's 2925-position model. The record is from RNAcentral. Lineage: Bacteria; Pseudomonadati; Pseudomonadota; Gammaproteobacteria; Enterobacterales; Enterobacteriaceae.